Molecule: non-coding RNA, 79 nt
Organism: Collybia nuda
Lineage: Eukaryota; Fungi; Basidiomycota; Agaricomycetes; Agaricales; Clitocybaceae
Source: the annotation of a GenBank genome assembly
GCCCUUUUAGCUCAGUGGUAGAGCGCGCCACUCGUACCAACAUAUGGCGAGGCCACUCGUUCAAUCCGGGUAGGGGGCA